GCGGACUGCUCGAGCUGCU
Molecule: non-coding RNA, 19 nt
Filed under: Arabidopsis thaliana (thale cress)
Lineage: Eukaryota; Viridiplantae; Streptophyta; Magnoliopsida; Brassicales; Brassicaceae
Also listed under: 1 other name
Source: RNAcentral